AUGAGAGAUGUUGAAGGGGGCCGGUUGCUCCGUUAUAUGCAUGCUAAUGGGGAAAGUAUGUUUCUCAUUGUGGUUCACCUUCAUAUUUUUCGUGGUCUACAUCAUGCGAGUUAUAGCAGUCCUAGGGAAUUUGUUCGGUGUGUCGGAGUUGUCAUAUUCCUAUUAAUGAUUGUGACAGCUUUUAUAGGAUACGUACCACCUUGGGGUCAGAUGAGCUUUUGGGGAGCAACAGUAAUUACAAGCUUAGCUAGCGCCAUACCAGUAGUAGGAGAUACCAUAGUGACUUGGCUUUGGGGUGGUUUCUCUGUGGACAAUGCCACCUUAAAUCGUUUUUUAGUCUCCAUCAUUUACUCCCCCUUAUUUUAG
RNAcentral lists this ribosomal RNA (366 nucleotides) under Triticum aestivum (bread wheat). RNAcentral's name for it is "partial small subunit ribosomal RNA". Lineage: Eukaryota; Viridiplantae; Streptophyta; Magnoliopsida; Poales; Poaceae. The record is from RNAcentral.